Molecule: ribosomal RNA, 238 nt
Filed under: uncultured bacterium
Lineage: Bacteria
Description: partial 16S ribosomal RNA
Rfam family: Bacterial small subunit ribosomal RNA
Source: RNAcentral
GAUCAUGGCUCAGGAUGAACGCUGGCGGCGUGCUUAACACAUGCAAGUCGAGCGAAGCACUUAAGUUUGAUUCUUCGGAUGAAGACUUUUGUGACUGAGCGGGCGGACGGGUGAGGUAACGCGUGGGUAACCUGCCUCAUACAGGGGGAUAACAGUUAGAAAUGGCUGCUAAUACCGCAUAAGACCACAGUACUGCAUGGUAUAGUGGUAAAAACUCCGGUGGUAUGAGAUGGACCCG